UACGGGGGGGGCAAGCGUUGUUCGGAAUUACUGGGCGUAAAGGGCUCGUAGGCGGCCAACUAAGUCGGACGUGAAAUCCCCAGGCUCAACCUGGGAACUGCGUCCGAUACUGGAUGGCUUGAAUCCGGGAGAGGGAUGCAGAAUUCCAGGUGUAGCGGUGAAAUGCGUAGAUAUCAGGAAGAACACCCGUGGCGAAAGCGGCUCUCUGGAACGGUACUGACGCUGAGACGCGAAAGCGUGGGGAGCGAACAGG
Molecule: ribosomal RNA, 253 nt
Filed under: uncultured bacterium
Lineage: Bacteria
Description: partial 16S ribosomal RNA
Rfam family: Bacterial small subunit ribosomal RNA
Source: RNAcentral